UGGGGAAUAUUGGACAAUGGGGGAAACCCUGACCCAGCAACGCCGCGUGAAGGAUGAAGUAUUUCGGUAUGUAAACUUCGAAAGAAUAGGAAGAAUAAAUGACGGUACUAUUUAUAAGGUCCGGCUAACUACGUGCCAGCAGCCGCGGUAAUACGUAGGGACCAAGCGUUGUUCGGAUUUACUGGGCGUAAAGGGCGCGUAGGCGGCAUGACAAGUCACUUGUGAAAUCUCUGGGCUUAACCCAGAACGGCCAAGUGAUACUGUCGCGCUAGAGUGCAGAAGGGGCAAUCGGAAUUCUUGGUGUAGCGGUGAAAUGCGUAGAUAUCAAGAGGAACACCUGAGGUGAAGACGGGUUGCUGGGCUGACACUGACGCUGAGGCGCGAAAGCCAGGGGAGCAAACGGGAUUAGAUACCCCGGUAGUCCCUGAGCGGGCUGGCAAGGCGCAU
This 447-nucleotide ribosomal RNA is filed under the name uncultured bacterium. Its description in RNAcentral is "bacterial SSU rRNA". It matches the Rfam family "Bacterial small subunit ribosomal RNA", at positions 355 to 825 of the family's 1533-position model. The record is from RNAcentral.